ACUCCUACGGGAGGCAGCAGUGGGGAAUAUUGGACAAUGGGGGCAACCCUGAUCCAGCCAUGCCGCGUGUGUGAAGAAGGCUUUCGGGUUGUAAAGCACUUUCAGUGAGGAGGAAAACCGUACGACUAAUACUCGUAUGGCUUGACGUUACUCACAGAAGAAGCACCGGCUAACUCCGUGCCAGCAGCCGCGGUAAUACGGAGGGUGCAAGCGUUAAUCGGAAUUACUGGGCGUAAAGCGCGCGUAGGUGGUUUGAUAAGCGAGAUGUGAAAUCCCCGGGCUUAACCUGGGAACUGCAUGUGAUACUGGUGGUGCUAGAAUAUGUGAGAGGGAAGUAGAAUUCCAGGUGUAGCGGUGAAAUGCGUAGAGAUCUGGAGGAAUACCGAUGGCGAAGGCAGCUUCCUGGCAUAAUAUUGACACUGAGAUUCGAAAGCGUGGGUAGCAAACAGGAUUAGAUACCCUGGUAGUCCACGCCGUAAACGAUGUCUACUAGCCGUUGGGGUCCUUGAGACUUUAGUGGCGCAGUUAACGCGAUAAGUAGACCGCCUGGGGAGUACGGCCGCAAGGUUAAAACUCAAAGGAAUUGACGG
RNAcentral lists this ribosomal RNA (590 nucleotides) under uncultured bacterium. RNAcentral's name for it is "bacterial SSU rRNA". It matches the Rfam family "Bacterial small subunit ribosomal RNA", at positions 335 to 916 of the family's 1533-position model. The record is from RNAcentral.